This 507-nucleotide long non-coding RNA is filed under the name Fukomys damarensis (Damara mole-rat). RNAcentral's name for it is "lncRNA (ENSFDAG00000028494.1)". Lineage: Eukaryota; Metazoa; Chordata; Mammalia; Rodentia; Bathyergidae. The record is from RNAcentral.
GUGGUUGGAACCAUAUCUGCCCAUGAGUCAAGAUGGAAUAAGCAGAAGCUUGGAAUGUGAAUACCAAGAGCAUUCACUGAAGUUUCUUAAAAACAAAUAUAUAAAAUAAAAUUUCCUCGUGGGCAAAGUAUACCUUGUUGUUUGUGUCAAAGUUUUGUCAGAGUUUGAUAAAGGUUUAUUUAUUUAUUUUUCAGUGUCUGAUCUGGAUGGAGGCAACGAGACAGUCAGCCAGUAUUUCCUGAGCCAGUGCUGGCAUUCAGGGGACUAAGCUAUGGCUCAUUCCCCGAAGGGGUAGGAUGGGGAUUUAGGGGUCUAGUGCUGGUUGGGACCCCUUGGAAGCAUGAUUAGGAUCCUGCAGACCUGAGCCCUGACUCUGGCUGUCUGAUGAUCACGGGUCACUGAUUGGCAUGUCCCAAGCAUCUCUGUGGCCUUGUGUGAAAGAAGGCACAGCCCUCACGGCACCGGCCAAAGCACAGCCCUUUCCCCAGCCAGCCCCAGAACCCAGGU